RNAcentral lists this ribosomal RNA (416 nucleotides) under uncultured bacterium. RNAcentral describes it as "bacterial SSU rRNA". It matches the Rfam family "Bacterial small subunit ribosomal RNA", at positions 58 to 482 of the family's 1533-position model. The record is from RNAcentral.
CAAGUCGAGCGGCAGCGGGAUCUAGCUUGCUAGAUUGCCGGCGAGCGGCGGACGGGUGAGUAACGCGUAGGAAUCUACCGGAUAGUGGGGGACAACCAGUGGAAACGCUGGCUAAUACCGCAUACGCCCUACGGGGGAAAGCAGGGGAUCUUCGGACCUUGCGCUAUUCGAUGAGCCUGCGUGAGAUUAGCUUGUUGGUGAGGUAAAGGCUCACCAAGGCGACGAUCUCUAGCUGGUCUGAGAGGAUGAUCAGCCACACUGGGACUGAGACACGGCCCAGACUCCUACGGGAGGCAGCAGUGGGGAAUAUUGCACAAUGGGCGCAAGCCUGAUGCAGCCAUGCCGCGUGUGUGAAGAAGGCCUUCGGGUUGUAAAGCACUUUCAGCAGUGAGGAAAGGUUAGUAGUUAAUACCUGC